GGGUCUAUAGCUCAGCUGGUCAGAGCACACGCUUGAUAAGCGUGGGGUCGUUGGUUCAAGUCCAACUAGACCCACCA
This 77-nucleotide transfer RNA is filed under the name Candidatus Ichthyocystis hellenicum. RNAcentral's name for it is "bacterium 2013Arg42i tRNA-Ile(gat)". It matches the Rfam family "tRNA". Rfam says of the family: Transfer RNA (tRNA) molecules are approximately 80 nucleotides in length. Their secondary structure includes four short double-helical elements and three loops (D, anti-codon, and T loops). The record is from RNAcentral. Lineage: Bacteria; Pseudomonadati; Pseudomonadota; Betaproteobacteria; Burkholderiales.